Molecule: ribosomal RNA, 274 nt
Filed under: uncultured bacterium
Lineage: Bacteria
Description: partial 16S ribosomal RNA
Rfam family: Bacterial small subunit ribosomal RNA
Source: RNAcentral
AUACGAAGGGGGCAGGCGUUGUUCGGAAUAACUGGGCGUAAAGCGCACGUAGGCGGAAUGUUAAGUUAGAGGUGAAAUCCCAGGGCUCAACCCUGGAACUGCCUUUAAUACUGGCAAUCUAGAGACCGAGAGAGGUGAGUGGAAUUCCGAGUGUAGAGGUGAAAUUCGUAGAUAUUCGGAGGAACACCAGUGGCGAAGGCGGCUCACUGGCUCGGUACUGACGCUGAGGUGCGAAAGCGUGGGGAGCAAACAGGAUUAGAAACCCUAGUAGUCC